GAUACCAGCCUAUCUCCAAAUCAGUUUUGCUCGUGGAUAGCGUAGGACGGCAUGCUCAAUCGACUCCUCUUCGAGCCCACACAUCGGACAGGAGAUCGAAAUGUCCAUGCUCCUCCGUUUGAGAAGAGUGCACGUCGGUAGGCGAUCCCAGACAAGCUUCCAAAGGAAGAGCCUCAUUGGGGUGGGCAGUCGCUCUCCAGAUCCAGGUGCAUCAAUCCUCCAACUACCAUCAGUCUAUACAUCUAGGUCAGGUCAUGUAAGGAGAUCUUCAGACAGUAAGACCGAUCCUAAACCCUCACAUCUCUGCAGGAAAGAAUCGGGAUCGGAGUGGCAAGAAUCCGAUCAGCAAGCAGACCUCCGAAUAGGCGGUAGAUCUCUUGGACUCGCCAACUCC
Molecule: long non-coding RNA, 394 nt
Filed under: Elaeis guineensis (African oil palm)
Lineage: Eukaryota; Viridiplantae; Streptophyta; Magnoliopsida; Arecales; Arecaceae
Description: long non-coding RNA (EGUI_LNC002020)
Source: RNAcentral